CGCGGCCUAUCAGCUUGUUGGUGGGGUAACGGCCCACCAAGGCUAUGGCGGGUAGCUGACGUGAGAGCGUGAUCAGCCACACUGGGACUGAGACACGGCCCAGACUCCUACGGGAGGCAGCAGUGGGGAAUAUUGCGCAAUGGGCGGAAGCCUGACGCAGCGACGCCGCGGGGGAGGAAGGCCCUAGGGUUGUAAACCCCUGUCAGGUGGGACGAACCCCGGGUCGGUAAAUAAUCGGCCCGACUGACGGUACCACCAGAGGAAGCUCCGGCUAACUCCGUGCCAGCAGCCGCGGUAAUACGGAGGGAGCGAGCGUUGUUCGGAAUCACUGGGCGUAAAGGGCGCGUAGGCGGCCGAGUAAGUCGUGUGUGAAAGACCGGGGCUCAACUCCGUGUACUGCAUGCGAUACUGCCCGGCUAGAGAAAGGUAGAGGCGAGUGGAAUUCCCGGUGUAGCGGUGGAAUGCGUAGAUAUCGGGAAGAACACCUGUGGCGAAGGCGGCUCGCUGGGCCUUUUCUGACGCUGAAGUGCGAAAGCGUGGGGAGCAAACAGGAUUAGAUACC
Molecule: ribosomal RNA, 562 nt
Filed under: uncultured Thermobispora sp.
Lineage: Bacteria; Bacillati; Actinomycetota; Actinomycetes; Streptosporangiales; Streptosporangiaceae
Description: bacterial SSU rRNA
Rfam family: Bacterial small subunit ribosomal RNA
Source: RNAcentral